AUAUUUAGAGAUUAAUGUAAGUCAUAAAUGUCGCCUAUCUCAAGUUUAAAUUGAGCACUUUCCUAUCUAUUGAGUUUUGGUACACGAUUUUUCUUGGGUUAACUUCAAACGCCCAUUUCUCUUAGAAUAAAGCAUGUUAUGUGGCUCAAUAAAUAUGAGUCAUAUUUCCAAUGCAACUGACUAUUUGUCAAUCUGAGAGUUCAAAGUAAAAAGUUAUAAGUGUUUUAGUAAAACACUAUUGAAGGUCCACA
This 251-nucleotide long non-coding RNA is filed under the name Capsicum annuum. Its description in RNAcentral is "long non-coding RNA (CANN_LNC018900)". Lineage: Eukaryota; Viridiplantae; Streptophyta; Magnoliopsida; Solanales; Solanaceae. The record is from RNAcentral.